Molecule: ribosomal RNA, 403 nt
Filed under: bacterium
Lineage: Bacteria
Description: partial 16S ribosomal RNA
Rfam family: Bacterial small subunit ribosomal RNA
Source: RNAcentral
UGGGGAAUAUUGCACAAUGGAGGGAACUCUGAUGCAGCGACGCCGCGUGAACGAAGAAGGCUUUCGAGUCGUAAAGUUCUUUUAUAAGGGAAGAUAAUGACGGUACCAUAAGAAAAAGCCCCGGCUAACUACGUGCCAGCAGCCGCGGUAAUACGUAGGGGGCUAGCGUUGUCCGGAAUCACUGGGCGUAAAGGGUUCGCAGGCGGAAAUGCAAGUCAGGUGUAAAAGGCAGUAGCUUAACUACUGUAAGCAUUUGAAACUGCAUAUCUUGAGAAGAGUAGAGGUAAGUGGAAUUUUUAGUGUAGCGGUGAAAUGCGUAGAUAUUAAAAAGAAUACCGGUGGCGAAGGCGACUUACUGGGCUCAUUCUGACGCUGAGGAACGAAAGCGUGGGUAGCAAACAGG